This 253-nucleotide ribosomal RNA is filed under the name uncultured bacterium. Its description in RNAcentral is "partial 16S ribosomal RNA". It matches the Rfam family "Bacterial small subunit ribosomal RNA", at positions 524 to 776 of the family's 1533-position model. The record is from RNAcentral.
UACGUAGGGUGCAAGCGUUAAUCGGAAUUACUGGGCGUAAAGCGUGCGCAGGCGGUGAUGUAAGACAGAUGUGAAAUCCCCGGGCUCAACCUGGGAACUGCAUCCGAGACUGCAUUGCUAGAGUAUGGGAGAGGAAAGCGGAAUUUCUGGUGUAGCAGUGAAAUGCGUAGAUAUCAGAAGGAACAUCAGUGGCGAAGGCGGCUUUCUGGACCAAUACUGACGAUCAGGUGCGAAAGCGUGGGGAGCAAACAGG